This 420-nucleotide ribosomal RNA is filed under the name Fusobacteriota bacterium. Its description in RNAcentral is "Fusobacteria bacterium partial 16S ribosomal RNA". It matches the Rfam family "Bacterial small subunit ribosomal RNA", at positions 355 to 776 of the family's 1533-position model. Lineage: Bacteria; Fusobacteriati; Fusobacteriota. The record is from RNAcentral.
UGGGGGAUAUUGCACAAUGGGCGAAAGCCUGAUGCAGCGACGCCGCGUGGGGGAUGAAGGCCUUCGGGUUGUAAACUUCUUUUGCUCUGAACAAGGCAUGCCUUUGGGGUGUGUUGAGUGUAGGGGUUGAUUAGCGCCGGCUAACUACGUGCCAGCAGCCGCGGUAAUACGUAGGGCGCGAGCGUUGUCCGGAAUUAUUGGGCGUAAAGGGCUUGUAGGUGGCUGGUUGCGUCUGUCGUGAAAGCUCAUGGCUUAACUGUGGGUUUGCGGUGGGUACGGGCUGGCUUGAGUGCAGUAGGGGAGGCUGGAAUUCCUGGUGUAGCGGUGGAAUGCGCAGAUAUCAGGAGAAAUACCGGUGGCGAAGGCGGGUCUCUGGGCUGUUACUGACGCUGAGGAGCGAAAGCGUGGGGAGCGAACAGG